AGUGAACGCUGGCGGCAGGCCUAACACAUGCAAGUCGAGCGGACGAACGGUGCUUGCUCCUGGAUUCAGCGGCGGACGGGCGAGUAAUUCCUAGGUAUCUGCCUGGCAGCGGGGUAUAACGUCCGGACACGGGCGCUAAUACCGCAUACGCCCUGAGGGAGAACGUGGGGGAUCAUCGGACCUCCCGCUAUCAGAUGACCCUAGGUGGGAUUAGCUAGUUGGGUGGGUAAAGGCCUACCAAGGCGACGAUCCGUAGCUGGUCUGAGAGGAUGAUCAGUCACACUGGAACUGAGACACGGUCCAGACUCCUACGGGAGGCAGCAGUGGGGAAUAUUGGACAAUGGGCGAAAGCCUGAUCCAGCCAUGCCGCGUGUGUGAAGAAGGUCUUCGGAUUGUAAAGCACUUUAAGUUGGGAAGAAGAGCAGUAAGUUAAUACCUGGCUGUUUUGACGGUACCAAAAGAAUAAGCACCGGCUAACUUCGUG
RNAcentral lists this ribosomal RNA (484 nucleotides) under uncultured bacterium. RNAcentral's name for it is "partial 16S ribosomal RNA". It matches the Rfam family "Bacterial small subunit ribosomal RNA", at positions 29 to 507 of the family's 1533-position model. The record is from RNAcentral.